ACUCUUCUACCUGAAGCAGAGACAGCACCAGGCGACCUGGAAGCAUACUUCUGGUAGCAAUGGGGACACGGGUCAAAGGGGACUUGAGGUUAUCAGCUUUCAGAAUGAAGACACAUAAUCCCUAUUAGAGUGGAAGACUUAAAAUCGAGUUUGAGACCCACCUUCUGAAACUGCAGGCUCUUGGGAGCCUGAUUUCCGGUGAAGAGUGUUGCUGCUUUGCAUUUUUCACACUUGAACACAGUGAAGAAGAUGAACAUUAAUUAGGAUUAUAGUGCCAUGGAGGCUUACUGUGCUGUGAGAACUCACAAGAAAUAAAAUGCCAUUUCUUUUUUUGGAUGCAAUUCUGAGUGUCAUGUAUGUAUUAGUUCUUGGGCCCAAGCCAAGUUACUUUAGGGGUGAUAUACAAUCUGUUAUUUUUAGAUCAUAUUGGGUAAGGG
Molecule: long non-coding RNA, 437 nt
Filed under: Homo sapiens (human)
Lineage: Eukaryota; Metazoa; Chordata; Mammalia; Primates; Hominidae
Description: HSALNT0315285
Source: RNAcentral